This 301-nucleotide ribosomal RNA is filed under the name uncultured bacterium. RNAcentral describes it as "partial 16S ribosomal RNA". It matches the Rfam family "Bacterial small subunit ribosomal RNA", at positions 509 to 807 of the family's 1533-position model. The record is from RNAcentral.
CAGCCGCCACGGUAAUACGAAGGGUGCUAGCGUUGUUCGGAAUUACUGGGCGUAAAGCGUGCGUAGGUGGUUUGUUAAGUUAGAGGUGAAAGCCUGGAGCUCAACUCCAGAAUUGCCUUUAAGACUGCCGAGCUAGCAGGUGAGAGAGGUAAGUGGAAUUCCGAGUGUAGAGGUGAAAUUCGUAGAUAUUCGGAAGAACACCAGUGGCGAAGGCGGCUUACUGGCUCAUACUGGACGCUGAGGUGCGAAAGCGUGGGGAGCAAACAGGAUUAGAUACCCCAGUAGUCCCUGUCUCUUAUAC